RNAcentral lists this long non-coding RNA (988 nucleotides) under Vulpes vulpes (red fox). RNAcentral describes it as "lncRNA (ENSVVUG00000004186.1)". The record is from RNAcentral. Lineage: Eukaryota; Metazoa; Chordata; Mammalia; Carnivora; Canidae.
CUGGAACACAUGGUCUCCAUGGAAGGGAAGGAGAGGGCUGGAGAAUCACACAUGAUGAUGUAAAGGCCCAGUCCUGGGAAUCUUUUUUUUUUUUUUAAGAUUUUAUUUAUUUAUUCAUGAGAGCAGAGAGAGAUAGAGAGAGAGGCAGAGACACAGGCAGCUGGAGAAGUAGGCUCCAUGCAGGGAGCCUGAUGUGGGACUCGAUCCUGGGACCCGAUCCUGGGACCCGAUCCUGGGACUCGAUCCUGGCAUUCCAGAAUCACACCCUGGGCCAAAGGCAGGUGCUCAGCCUCUGAGCCACCCAGGGAUCCCCUAGUCCUGGGAAUCUUAUACAUCACUUCUGCCCACAUUCUAUUAGCCAGAAUUAGUUACAUGAUACCAACUUAGCUGCAAAGGAGGCUGGGAAAUAUAUGUAAUCUUCCUGUAUGCUCACAAAAAGGAAAAAGUGUGGUAAGACAUUCUCUUUGCCACAUCUCCUUUUAUGUAUUGUAUUCAAUCCCCUACCAGAUAGGCAGGAGCCCUGGUAUCUUGAUCCAAGCUGGACUUCUGGGUCCCAAAAGCCCAUCUGACGUACAGGGUCAAGAACUGGCUACAGAAUGUGAAACAGAGGAAAUCCAUGUGCUUGUUGAUAAGCAAAAAAGAAGACAUCUAAUCCAAGAUAUUCAAGAUAUUUCUACCAUGCAGGAAAUGAAUUCAGAGUCUGCAACUGUGUUUUCUCUGUAUCUAUCUGAAAUAGUGUAUGAACCUCCCCUAUCCCAAGUCCUGGGGGCUAAGUUGGGUAUAUUACUCCUGUGUCCUCACUGCCCUUAUAUAUACCAUUUCAGUAUAUGUCACCAUGUGCUUUAAUUGCUUCUUUGCCUAUCUAUAUCCCCCAUUUGAAUGUGAAUUCUAGAAGGGUAGAAACUAUGCUGGCCUAAAACACACUGAUGUCCCCAAGAUGUAGCACAGGGCCUGGUAUACAGUAGAGGCUCAAUAAAUAUUUAUCAAA